This 58-nucleotide transfer RNA is filed under the name Sarcophilus harrisii (Tasmanian devil). It matches the Rfam family "tRNA", at positions 1 to 55 of the family's 71-position model. Rfam says of the family: Transfer RNA (tRNA) molecules are approximately 80 nucleotides in length. Their secondary structure includes four short double-helical elements and three loops (D, anti-codon, and T loops). Lineage: Eukaryota; Metazoa; Chordata; Mammalia; Dasyuromorphia; Dasyuridae. The record is from Rfam by way of RNAcentral.
GACCCCAUAGCUUAGUUGAUUAAAGUGUCUGUCUAAUAAACAGGAGAUCCUGGGUUCG